GACGAACGCUGGCGGCGUGCUUAACACAUGCAAGUCGAACGGAAAGGCCCUGCUUUUGUGGGGUGCUCGAGUGGCGAACGGGUGAGUAACACGUGAGUAACCUGCCCUUGACUUUGGGAUAACUUCAGGAAACUGGGGCUAAUACCGGAUAGGAGCUCCUGCUGCAUGGUGGGGGUUGGAAAGUUUCGGCGGUUGGGGAUGGACUCGCGGCUUAUCAGCUUGUUGGUGGGGUAGUGGCUUACCAAGGCUUUGACGGGUAGCCGGCCUGAGAGGGUGACCGGCCACAUUGGGACUGAGAUACGGCCCAGACUCAUACGGGAGGCAGCAGUGGGGAAUAUUGCACAAUGGGCGGAAGCCUGAUGCAGAAACGCCGCGUGCGGGAUGACGGCCUUCGGGUUGUAAACCGCUUUCGCCUGUGACGAAGCGUGAGUGACGGUAAUGGGUAAAGAAGCACCGGCUAACUACGUG
Molecule: ribosomal RNA, 468 nt
Filed under: uncultured bacterium
Lineage: Bacteria
Description: partial 16S ribosomal RNA
Rfam family: Bacterial small subunit ribosomal RNA
Source: RNAcentral